RNAcentral lists this transfer RNA (65 nucleotides) under Simocephalus vetulus. RNAcentral describes it as "tRNA-Ser". Lineage: Eukaryota; Metazoa; Arthropoda; Branchiopoda; Diplostraca; Daphniidae. The record is from RNAcentral.
GGAGUAAAAGUCAGAGAAGAGCUGCUAACUCUAACUCUAAGCGGUUUGAUUCCGUUUGUACUCCU